UUGGUAAUCUUCCACAAUGGGCGCAAGCCUGAUGGAGCAACACCGCGUGCGCGAAGAAGGGUUUCGGCUCGUAAAGCUCUGUUGUUGGAGAAGAACGUACGUGAGAGUAACUGUUCACGCAGUGACGGUAUCCAACCAGAAAGUCACGGCUAACUACGUGCCAGCAGCCGCGGUAAUACGUAGGUGGCAAGCGUUAUCCGGAUUUAUUGGGCGGAAAGCGCGCGCAGGCGGUUGCUUAGGUCUGAUGUGAAAGCCUUCGGCUUAACCGAAGAAGGGCAACGGAAACCGGGCGACUUGAGUGCAGAAGAGGACAGUGGAACUCCAUGUGUAGCGGUGGAAUGCGUAGAUAUAUGGAAGAACACCAGUGGCGAAGGCGGCUGUCUGGUCUGCAACUGACGCUGAGGCUCGAAAGCAUGGGUAGCGAACAGG
This 429-nucleotide ribosomal RNA is filed under the name uncultured bacterium. Its description in RNAcentral is "bacterial SSU rRNA". It matches the Rfam family "Bacterial small subunit ribosomal RNA", at positions 355 to 776 of the family's 1533-position model. The record is from RNAcentral.